Molecule: long non-coding RNA, 417 nt
Filed under: Daucus carota (carrot)
Lineage: Eukaryota; Viridiplantae; Streptophyta; Magnoliopsida; Apiales; Apiaceae
Description: long non-coding RNA (DCAR_LNC007348)
Source: RNAcentral
UUGAUAAAAUCUGAUGACAUUCUCUGAUAAUAUACUCUGUUUGCUUUACUCUGAUAACAUUCUCUGAUAAUAUUCUCUGAUGCUUCUACAACUCUGAAUCUUGAUAAGCAUUUUUUUAUCUUCUCUGAGACAAAUCACCUAUGAAGAUACCAUGAAGCAUGUUCUGAAUGAGUAAUCAUGAAUCUCAGCUAAGUUCCUUAAUCCUGAUCUCAAUUUUGUGCUACACUAGUUCACACUAUGCAUGCUGAUAUCAUUGAGACUCUACUACUUCACAUAUCUUAAUUAUAAGUGAGACUGAUUAAUUUAAAUUUUCUCUCAUAUACUAGACAGUGAUUAUGAACUCUGAUGUUUUUAUUACCUGAGACAAAACCCCUGAAAAAUAAGCAUGGUACUCCUUUGAGAUCUUAGAUGUUAAUA